Molecule: non-coding RNA, 2494 nt
Organism: Sebastes umbrosus (honeycomb rockfish)
Lineage: Eukaryota; Metazoa; Chordata; Actinopteri; Perciformes; Sebastidae
Source: the annotation of a RefSeq genome assembly
CGGCUGAAACUGUUGCGUCAAAGUUUGCUUUCACUUCGUCAUGUACUGACCAGCAGUCCAGAUGGAGCAGCUCCAGAACAUCAGAUCUCUGAUUAAAGUCCUGCUGAUUGUUGUCUACUGUAGAGGUUCCUCGGCUGACCCUUCCAGGACGCUCGGUGUGUUGGUGGGUGCAGACGUGACUCUCAGCUGCCUGUUUGAUAAGCUGUCCCGGCUGGUGGAGUGGAGCGCUCUCACCAUCGAGUGGAACAAGGUGGAUCAACAUACCGGGAGGAAGAGCGUGGUGUACACGUUGGAGGACGGCAGAGUGCAUGUGAACAGAGCCGGCUGCGUGGUGGACAGACUGCGGCUGCUGCACAGGGAUGCAUCUCUGCAGCUUCCUAAUGUGACUGUUGGAGAUGAAGGGAUGUACACCUGCAGGAUCAUCACACCUGUGGUCUACACAGAGACCACCGCACUGCAAGUGCUCGCUCGGCCUUCAGUGUCGCUCCCAGAAAAAGCAGCCGUGACGGAGGGCGAGGACAAGAUGAUCCAGUGUGACAUCACGGGUUUCUAUCCAGAGAAACUGGCCGUGACGUGGCACAUCCAAAACAGCUCCCACGCCGUCCACGCAGGCGCCAGCCACCUCUCCCGAGUCUGCACCGAGAUGGCCGUUCACAAUCUAGACGGCACCUUCAGUAUUCGCAGCGGCAUCACGCUCCACUCCUCGGCCGUGAAGGACGGCGAGAUGCUCGUCGUCUGCCAGGUGGAGCACCAGACCUUCGGCGGGCCGUACAACCGAUCGGUUACUCUCACUGUUCAGGCUCCAUCACAGCCUCGUUACAGCGCCGUCACACUGAUGGCGGUCACCAGCGUCACCAGUCUGCUGCUGGUCACCUCCGUCAUCGGAGGAGCUCUGCUGCUCUACAGGUACUUCUGUAAAGCUCCAGUCAGUGUCUCUGAGAUCAGCCAGCCCAGCAUCAUAUACGCCGCGGUGCAGACCGACCUCAGAUGCAGCGUCCGAGGAGCCCGACAGCGGGAGGUCAAAGUGAAAUGGUUUAAAUUAGGAAGCGGUGAAGACUCGGCGGUCCAGUCAGACUCAGUUCCUCUGCUGCUCAGUGAGGAUCUGAGUGAACAGGCCUGUCUCCAUUCAGACGGCAGUCACCACACAUCUGUCCUCCCGGUGUGUCUCACCGUCACCGAGGACAUGACCCGAUACCAGUGUGUGGUGCUCUGUAGGGGGAGGAGCUUCAGCAGGAAGACUACGGUCCAGGUUAAAGUGGAGCCGUCGUUUCUCCAGAUCUCCAGCCUCCCUCAGAUCCCGCGGGUGGAGAGGCUGCUGGUUCUGUGCUGUCGGGUGGAGAACUUCUACCCUCAGCAGGUGGACCUGGAGUGGUUCAGGAACGACGGCGAGCGGGUCAGUACCGUCACACACUUUGGACCUUUCUCCGAGCGCAGCCGGCUCUACAGCGUGUGGAGUAAGAUCCAGCUGGUGAUGGCCAGAGAGGACGAGAGGGCCGUCUACACCUGCCGCGUUUACCACUCCAGCUUCCCUGACCCGGGUUACAGAGACGUCCUGUACCACAUCAACACGCAAGGAACUCCUCCUGAUGUGAUGUUCAUCGACUGUGAGCCUCUGUGUCCUCUGCUGAAUGAAGAGUGUACUCUACACCUGUGCAUCAAACACUUCUGUCCCGAGGACGUGUCGGUGACUUGGACUAAAGACGGAGAGCCGGUUCCCUCCGGCGUCUUCAACACGCCCCCGAGCCUGAACAUCAACGGCCUCUACUCCAUGUUCAGCUUUCUCAAACUCACCCCGGACGAGGAGGACCAGGAAUCCGUGUUCAGGUGCCGGGUGGUGCACAGCGCCCAGAGGGAGCCUGAGGAGAGGCUCUUCACGCUGCCGGCUGCAUCCCACAACCUGCAGCUGACAGACGGCUGCUCACCUCCUCCCUGUAUGCAAACUCUCAUCUCCCACUUUGAUUCAUGAAAGUCGGGAUGCAGCAACAUCUUAUUUUCUCAUUCCAUAAAUUCUUACAAAUGUCCUAAUAAUUUUCUAGGAAGUUUCCUGGACAAUGUUAUUUGGUUCUAAUUAUAGGGAAAACUUUGGAGGAUGGAACCUGCCAAAAUAAAAAAAUAUUAAUAAAUAAAUGACUCAAUAUAUAAAUAAACAUGUCAUUAAAUGUAGCAAAAAUAAUCUUAAAAAUAAAUGUAGCCAUUAAUUAAUACAUUUUUAUACAUUUUUAAAUGUAUGUAUUUAUGGAUUAAUUUAUUUAUUUAUUAAUGCAUUUCCUCAUUUCUGCACUUUUCUUUUUACAUUUCUUUAUGCAUUUCAGCCUCAUUAUGCAGAUGAGGGGCUGUCACUCAACGCGUUUCAUGGGGUCAGAGCAUGGGCCUGAAAUGUCUAAAGAAAAUAAUACAAAAAUAAAUAACUUUGGGGAAAUAAAUAAGGGGUAAUAUGCAAAGGGAAAAGCAUGCAUAAAUAAAUAAAUAAAUUAUUGCAUAAAUACAUACAUUU